UACGUAGGGGGCUAGCGUUGUCCGGAAUCAUUGGGCGUAAAGCGCGCGUAGGCGGCCCGGUAAGUCCGCUGUAAAAGUCAAAGGCUCAACCUUUGAAUGUCAGUGGAUACUGCCGGGCUAGAGUCCGGAAGAGGCGAGUGGAACUCCUGGUGUAGCGGUGGAAUGCGCAGAUAUCAGGAAGAACACCGACGGCGAAGGCAGCUCGCUGGGACGGUACUGACGCUGAGACACGAAAGCCAGGGGAGCGAACGGG
This 253-nucleotide ribosomal RNA is filed under the name uncultured bacterium. RNAcentral describes it as "partial 16S ribosomal RNA". It matches the Rfam family "Bacterial small subunit ribosomal RNA", at positions 524 to 776 of the family's 1533-position model. The record is from RNAcentral.